Molecule: transfer RNA, 57 nt
Organism: Ovis aries (sheep)
Lineage: Eukaryota; Metazoa; Chordata; Mammalia; Artiodactyla; Bovidae
Rfam family: tRNA
About the family: Transfer RNA (tRNA) molecules are approximately 80 nucleotides in length. Their secondary structure includes four short double-helical elements and three loops (D, anti-codon, and T loops).
Source: Rfam
UGGCUCAGAUGGUAAAGAAUCUGCCUGCAAUGCAGGAGACCCAGGUUCGAUCCCUGG